Long non-coding RNA from Vidua chalybeata, 1588 nucleotides. RefSeq lists it as uncharacterized. The transcript is spliced from 2 exons. The record is from RefSeq and is a predicted model, not a curated record. NCBI's taxonomy places the organism in Eukaryota, Metazoa, Chordata, Aves, Passeriformes, Viduidae.
GGCCGGGGGCGGGCGGGGAGGUCAUGGCGGCUCUGGGUGCGCGCUGUUGCCCCGUGACUCACCGCCCGUGUCCAUCCGUGCCGCGCAGAGCGCGGCCCGGGCACAGCGCAGCCUCGGCAGCGGCGGCGCGGUACCGCACACGCCCGAGUGGCUGGUGGGAGCGUUGGACUCCUUGCCCGCCUCACUCCCUGCCUGUUGCUGCCCGGCCUGGCGUGGCCUAGUUCGCUCCGCUCCGCGCGGUGACUCCAUGUUGUACCGAGGAGCCGCGCUCAGCCCCGCUCCUCUGUCCCGCACAGACUCCCCGCGCCGAGCCGGGCAGCCCAAGGCCUCCAGGGGGAAAGCCCGCGCGCCCCAGCGGGACCUGCCCGGGACUUGCCGCCUCCCCGUCCCCCAGUAGCCUUCUCCAGCUGCGGGACUCCCUCAACCUCCGUCCCGCUCCCCGCACCGCCUUGCCCGGACACCGCUAGGCGCCGGUGCCGCACUCGACACAGCCCGCGGUGCGGGUCGCGGCUGCAGCGGCCUUGGAGGUCGGCAUGGGGCCGAGGGGAGCGGGCAGCGGCCGCAUCCCGCCCUCAGCCGGCCCUCAGGCGCCGCCGCCAUCUUGGCGGGGCGCGGGCGCCGCCGCGGCGCAGGAAAUGGAGGACGCGGGGCCGGGAGGCGCCCGGGGCUCCCUCAGCGCUGAGGGCUCCACCGCCGCGCGGGGCUUCCACGCGCCACGGCCCAGAGACUGCAGCGGGAAAAGUUCUUCCAGUUGCUGAACAGGAUUUGCUCUGUAUGCGUACGCGAAGCUCAGAAGCAAUGUUACCGGUACAAGAAACCCCCACCGAGCCCCCGGGCUGAGGAAUGAGAUGUGUGAGAGACACUUUGGAUUGACCUUUCCUCAAGCUGUAAAUCUAAUAUUAUAGCACUGUUAAGUUUCUUUAAUUAGACUAUGAGUAACAACGCGUGUCUUUUCCUCGCUGUUAAGUGCAGCUCAUUUAAGAUGGACUUGGGUUUGUUUGUGUUUUGAGUGCUGUGUUUGCGUGUCUGUGUGGCGUGGUUUAUUACAUGCUGUAUUUUCUACAGAACCAAACCCAUCCCGAGCUGUGAAAAGGGGAUGAACCUCUCAGUAAUGAUGAGUUCAAAAAAAGCCAACGGGCUUUGAACUCAGAACAACAUUUUCCCCAGUAACAGCAUUUCUUCUCAUUAAUUAUUUUGUAAAUCUUUACUGUCAUAGUCCUAAUCCAGCAUAAUUUUCAUGGCCUUUGGUUGCCUUGGAUACAUUACAGUCCUGUUCACAAGUAGUCCCACUUUUCGUUUCAAUCAAUUACUGCUCUUUUCAGGUGAUAAAGAGAAGAAAAAUAGUGUGUGGAGCUAAGGAAGUGCUCAGAGCUUAUAAAUCAUCAUUUUUUUUACUGCAUGAAAAAAACCAAGCAACAGAUCAAUGUCACUCACAAAGGCUGCAGAAACAAAAUCAUAUAUCAUCUUCUUUUUCAUCAAAUCUUUACUUUUUCUGAAGUAAUAAAACCUGGCUUCUCUCUGAGUCUUUGUAAUAGGACUCAGGAAUUUCAGACUGACAAACCUCUUGUAAUAAAACUUUUCUAACUUC